RNAcentral lists this ribosomal RNA (1294 nucleotides) under Lophiostoma corticola. Its description in RNAcentral is "partial 28S ribosomal RNA". It matches the Rfam family "Eukaryotic large subunit ribosomal RNA", at positions 91 to 1401 of the family's 3401-position model. RNAcentral also lists the same sequence under 1 other name. The record is from RNAcentral. Lineage: Eukaryota; Fungi; Ascomycota; Dothideomycetes; Pleosporales; Lophiostomataceae.
GAGUGAAGCGGCAACACGCUCAAAUUUGAAAUCUGGCCUCUUCGGGGUCCGAGUUGUAAUUUGCAGAGAGAGCUUUGGCGUUGGUUGUGGUCUAAGUUCCUUGGAACAGGACGUCGCAGAGGGUGAGAAUCCCGUAUGUGGCCGCCAGCCUUCGCCGUGUAAAGCCUUCUCGACGAGUCGAGUUGUUUGGGAAUGCAGCUCUAAAUGGGAGGUAAAUUUCUUCUAAAGCUAAAUAUUGGCCAGAGACCGAUAGCGCACAAGUAGAGUGAUCGAAAGAUGAAAAGCACUUUGGAAAGAGAGUCAAAAAGCACGUGAAAUUGUUGAAAGGGAAGCGCUUGCAGCCAGACUUGCUUGCGGUUGUUCAGCCGGGCUCCUGCCCGGUGUACUCUUCCGCACGCAGGCCAGCAUCAGUCCCGGGCGGUCGGAUAAAGGCCCAUUAAACGUACCUCCCCUCGGGGAGGACUUAUAGGGUGGGUGCCAUGCGACCAGCCUGGAUUGAGGUCCCGCGCAUCUGCUAGGAUGCUGGCGUAAUGGCUGUAAGCGGCCCGUCUUGAAACACGGACCAAGGAGUCUAACAUCUAUGCGAGUGUUUGGGUGUCAAGCCCGAGCGCGUAAUGAAAGUGAACGGAGGUGGGAACCUUUCGGGGUGCACCAUCGACCGAUCCUGAUGUCUUCGGAUGGAUUUGAGUAAGAGCAUAGCUGUUGGGACCCGAAAGAUGGUGAACUAUGCCUGAAUAGGGUGAAGCCAGAGGAAACUCUGGUGGAGGCUCGCAGCGGUUCUGACGUGCAAAUCGAUCGUCAAAUUUGGGCAUAGGGGCGAAAGACUAAUCGAACUAUCUAGUAGCUGGUUCCUGCCGAAGUUUCCCUCAGGAUAGCAGUAACGUUUUCAGUUUUAUGAGGUAAAGCGAAUGAUUAGAGGCCUGGGGGUUGAAACAACCUUCACCUAUUCUCAAACUUUAAAUAUGUAAGAAGUCCUUGUUACUUGAUUGAACGCGGACAUUUGAAUGUAUCGUUACUAGUGGGCCAUUUUUGGUAAGCAGAACUGGCGAUGCGGGAUGAACCGAACGCGGGGUUAAGGUGCCAGAAUACACGCUCAUCAGACACCACAAAAGGUGUUAGUUCAUCUAGACAGCAGGACGGUGGCCAUGGAAGUCGGAAUCCGCUAAGGAGUGUGUAACAACUCACCUGCCGAAUGAACUAGCCCUGAAAAUGGAUGGCGCUUAAGCGUGUUACCCAUACCCCGCCGCCAGGGCAGAAAUUAUGCCCUGGCGAGUAGGCAGGCGUGGAGGUUUGU